AAGUCGUAACAAGGUCUCCGUAGGUGAACCUGCGGAGGGAUCAUUACCAAAGAUGGCGGGCCUCCGGGCCCCCGUCCCCAACCCUUUGUUGACCGAAACCUUUUGCCUCGGGGGCAGAGCGUCGCCGCCCGCCCGGACGACCACGACGCUGUCUCUUUACGUCGGAGUAUUGAUUAAAUAAAUGAAA
This 187-nucleotide unclassified non-coding RNA is filed under the name plant metagenome. Its description in RNAcentral is "partial contains small subunit ribosomal RNA and internal transcribed spacer 1". The stretch from base 1 to 46 matches the Rfam family "Eukaryotic small subunit ribosomal RNA", at positions 1786 to 1831 of the family's 1831-position model. The record is from RNAcentral.